CACUGACAUUAGAUACCCCUGUAGUCCUAGCCGUAAACGAUACUCACUAGGUGUCGGCCACGGUGCGACCGUUGUCGGUGCCGUAGGGAAGCCGUGAAGCGAGCCACCUGGGAAGUACGGCCGCAAGGCUGAAACUUAAAGGAAUUGGCGGGGGAGCACAACAACGGGUGGAGCUUGCGGUUUAAUUGGAUUCAACGCCGGAAAUCUUACCGGGACCGACAGCAACAUGAAGGCCAAGCUGAAGACUUUGCCGGAUUAGCUG
RNAcentral lists this ribosomal RNA (262 nucleotides) under uncultured archaeon. RNAcentral describes it as "partial 16S ribosomal RNA". It matches the Rfam family "Archaeal small subunit ribosomal RNA", at positions 721 to 982 of the family's 1478-position model. The record is from RNAcentral.